GACGAACGCUGGCGGCGUGCUUAACACAUGCAAGUCGAACGGAAAGGCCCUGCUUUUGUGGGGUGCUCGAGUGGCGAACGGGUGAGUAACACGUGAGUAACCUGCCCUUGACUUUGGGAUAACUUCAGGAAACUGGGGCUAAUACCGGAUAGGAGCUCCUGCUCCAUGGUGGGGGUUGGAAAGUUUCGGCGGUUGGGGAUGUACUCGCGGCUUAUCAGCUUGUUGGUGGGGUAGUGGCUUACCAAGGCUUUGACGGGUAGCCGGCCUGAGAGGGUGACCGGCCACAUUGGGACUGAGAUACGGCCCAGACGGGUACGGGGGGCAGAAGUGGGGAAUAUUGCACAAUGGGCGGAAGCCUGAUGCAGCAACGCCGCGUGCGGGAUGACGGCCUUCGGGUUGUAAACCGCUUUCGCCUGUGACGAAGCGUGAGUGACGGUAAUGGGUAAAGAAGCACCGGCUAACUACGUG
RNAcentral lists this ribosomal RNA (468 nucleotides) under uncultured bacterium. RNAcentral describes it as "partial 16S ribosomal RNA". It matches the Rfam family "Bacterial small subunit ribosomal RNA", at positions 28 to 507 of the family's 1533-position model. The record is from RNAcentral.